CCAAAAGCCCCCAAUUUGUGGGUGAUCACCAUGUGCCCCAAGACUCCUUGCCUUUGUGUUGACAGCCCCAUUCCCAUAACUGAAGUGGAAUCCAGAGCUUCUGCCAUCUUUGUCCACAUCCCCAGUACCUGUUCCUGUUCGUUACUGUCCCUUAAAAUGAAGCACCCAAACUGGCCAUGAGGCCUCUGUCUCCUAUGGGACUACCUCUCCAACGGGGUGCCUUUAGCCUUUUAAGAGGAACCACUGCUGGGUCCAUUGUUUGUCCUCACUGCCCCCUAAGUACUGUGCCCCCAACAAGAGGACGUUACCAUGUCACCAUAUAACUAAAACUGGACUUCAGACAUUUUCUUUGAUUGUCAGCAAAGCCAAAAUAAUGAGCUCCCUUGGCUGAGAGAGUGAGCAAUUCUUUAUCUGAGACAAGAAACCAUUCCCAUGAAAACUAGAUGGAAUUAUUAAUACAGGUUUUCAUAAACAUCUAGGAAACAUUUCAUUUUGUAUAUAUAUCUAUAGAUAUCUAUAGAUAUAGAUUUUUUUUGGCAUCUGAGAUUCUUCGGGCACUUUCACAAAGGGUUGUUACAACUGCACAAUGUCAUCGUUUUAGUGAACACCUAGUACUUAUUCCAUAUAGAUCCCAACAUUGAAAAGUCGUUUUCACUCACGUCUAAUCAACCUACUGAAAUGCCUUUCUGGUCACUGGUCAGGUGUGUUGGUGAGGAGAAUACACUUGAUUCUUCUAUCCCCAAAGUAGCCAUUUUAAGGAAUAUCUAUCCAGAUACCCAAAGUGGUAAGCUCCUGGCAGCUUAACCAAAUGCUAAAAGGGGUUGCUGGGUGCAAUGAGAAAUGCUUGAGAGGAAAAGGUGGGGGAAGCACCAGGCUGAACACGAGGUGUGCUGUGCUGUGUGUCCCAUGGCGGACAGCGGGCACCUGGGGCUGGGGUGCCAUGCUCCAGCAGAUCGGGGAGGGAAAUUUGGGAAAUGCUGUUUUCCUUCCCCACACUUCUCUGAAAGUCAGCGAGCAGAGUGCUCUGUUUUUAUACUAAGUUAUCCAUUACACAGAAGCCUGAGUACCCAACAGGCUAGAAUUUCAACAGAGGCUCAUCUCUUUACUUUGGAGGCAGGAAGGCUUCCACUUCAUCAUCACUGAAGGUAAGGGAAUGUCAGUAAAGACUCAUUUGUUUGACAACUGAGGUAAGGGAACAUCAGUAAAGACUCCUUCAUUUGACGCCUGGUUCCUGCGGCUCUCCUGGUGUGGUGAUGAUUGGCCCAGGAUUUCCAGAAAGCCUAGCCAAGGGGCAGGCUGAGAAAUAAAGAUAAAUGAAUGUGAACCAUCUGAGAAAGCAUAUCCCAUCCAUAUCCACUGCCUGUUUUCAACGUGCAGUGGAGGGGCUGGUAUGGGGGUGCAGUGGCAGAAGUUCAUUACAGCUGAGUGUAAAUUAGAGAAGGCACCCCCACAUUCUGAUGGAUACAGUCUUUUAUGCUUCCAAAGCAGCCCUUGCAUAUAUUAUCCUACUUGAUCCUAACAGUGAUAAUACCACUACACAGACAAGAAAACUGAGGCUUAAAGAGGGCAUGUGAUUUGUACACACUGAGACUAUCAAACCCCAAAUCCAGGUUUUCUGACUCCAAAUCCAGAGUUUUUACCAAAGCGACACACAGUCUUCAGGGAACCAGGGAAACACCUAGCAUUGAUUGAAUACCUACUGUGUGUCUCACACAUCGUUUCUCCUAUUUCAUCCUCUCACAGUCCUGCCCAGUAAGCAUGAACUUGACCAUUUCUCUGAAGAAGAAGCAAGUUCGGCUUUAAACAAUUUGACCAGCUACAAAGUGGUGGGGAGUUGGGGUUAAAACCCAGUUCUACUAGCUUGCAAAGACAAUUUUCUCUCCUCUCUGCUGAUCUAGUCAUUGUGUAUUAGACAUGAGAAAACAAAGACCCAAGAGGUUAAGUGACUUUCCGGAUCACACAGCCGGCUCAACAGAGAGCUGAGACCAAAAUCUGACCCAGUACAACAUGGGGAUCUGGGCUGGGUUAUUGUCUAAUCGUCACUUCCCUGAAAUCAAACAAGACUAUAAUGAGGUACCUGGUUAGUGCUUCCUAAGCAGCUCUAACAUUUAGUAGAACAAAGUGUUGAAGGAGGUCUGGGACCUCAAAAUGCCCGAAAGAAUGGUAUCAAAGCCGGCAGCCAGGGGCACAGCCAGGUCAGUUCUAUAUAUAGAUGUAAUUGUUCACCAGCGAUUUCAACUAGCUUGUCUGAGCAGCCUCGGCUCUCUUUGGUCUGCUGUCUCCAUGGGUGCCAGGAACUGUGCUGUGAAUAUCUGGAUGCUGCAUCAUUAAACCUAUUGAGUAUCUCACUGUCUGCUGAGCCCAACUGUGACUCUGUUCAAACAAAUAAAGGUACCUAAUGGCUGCAACCUGAAUUGUGGGCACAUGGCCCAAGUGGUAAUCAGAGAUGGCCUAUGUCACUGAGGCAGAAGACCCACAAGAAGUGCAGAGAAUAAUAGAGAUGCAGAGGCUAUUCCCAGAUUCCCACUGGAAGUCCCAUUAGCAGUGACAAAAGGAGACACAGACGGAGGAGAGAGUUGCGGCAGAUGGUCUCCAUCCAGGAAGGAGCAGAAGAGAUGCUGACGUCAAGAAAAAACGGGGGCUGUGACUCUACUGAUGACUCUAUUUCCUGUUCCAGGCUACUUGGCAGGGAUUCUGGUAGGAAGAAUAUUUAUUGUCAAACCUUAAUAGGCUCUAUUCUUUGCAAUUAUUUGAGCAUCUGAAGAGAGGAGAGGGUCUUGCAACUGGAGGAGGAUAUUUUGCCUGGCCAUUGGUUGGGGCUCAGUUGCUGUUGUGAGUGGAGUUCUGAUAGCAUCUCUCCGCCCUUGCAAAUUUUUAUAAUGGCUAAUUAGUAUCUUGCGAGUAGAGUGGGGAAAACAGUGGAUCUCUGAGCAUUUUGAGGGUCAAGGAUUGGAAGGCAGUUCUGCUGCACUGGGCCAUAUUGCAGUGAGGACAACAGAGCCCAAGAGAGGGAACUCAUAAUUAGGAAAGCACUUAAAAUCAAGAUGAACAGUUGUGCAGGUUGUGCACUGAACAACAUUGUGGCAUCAUUUACUUCUUAAUCUCUCUUUAGAUUUUUAUGGUGCACAACAUGCAAAUUAUAUGUCACAACCCUGGCAGUCUACACUAGCAAACCUUACACAGCCCCUAACUGUUGAGGUCAGAGAAGGGAACUGAUUCUAGGUAUAGCAUAUUGCAAAUACUAGAAUCCACCUUGACCUGCCCACUCAGGUGCCCUGGAGUAUUUGAAGAAGAUGACUUCAGGUUUGUUUGAACUUAAAGUGCUAUAGCACCAAAUGCUAUUACAAUUUAGGACAUAAGCAAUUUUUGUAUGAAACAUAUCAUUCUCACUCUUAGUUCUCCGGAGUCAGAAGGAACUAAGAAAGGUUUACCUGGAGGUCAGCAAGAGCAGAUGGAUGAACGGGAGCCAGGGAAAGAGGGAGUUGGGCUACCAAGCCUUGGUACAGCUGAGAGCAGCUCCAGUGUGGUCAGCAGAUUUCCCUGGUGGGGGCUGUGGCUGCCACAGGUUCGAAUGAUGCAAUGGGAGUGACAUCUCCAAGGACUGUGAAGGAGCCAGGGCGGGGGUCAUUCAAGUAACAGGGACCUGAUGAAAUUCCCCUUGGGCUGUCCAUGAGUGCCAAUUGAAACUAGCUUGAAAAUCUGCAGAAGCAGAUUGGGAGCCUCACACACACUUGGGAAGGGGAGAAUUUGUGGCAGAUAGUGGCUUGGCAGAGCUGAGCACUGGGGAUCAAUGGAACAUGGCCUCUUUUACACUCAAUGGCUAUCCAAGGCUAAGGCCUGCUGGCUACACAGAUAUGUUCAUUUCACUGCAGAGACAGGGAGGGUGUCAGUAAAUGGCUUCAUUUUGUAUCCCUUGUAUCUGCAGGCCACAGAGGAAAGGCUCUACACCCAGACACACAAGGAAUAAAGCAGUGUGUGCCUCCCAGAGUGGGUGGAAAGCCAAUGAUCGGACAAUCAAAUGGGGUCAUGGAGCCAGCAGGAAUGAAGCAACUGGUGUCCAGUAGAGAAGAGGGAGAGAAACCUCGAGGUCUUAAUUUCACAGAGGUUCUUGACACAGGGUGGGAUUCAUUGCUGUCUAAGAAGGGAACUUAGGAUCUUGUGGAGUUUUGUUUUUUUUUUUUCUGAAGCUACUUCCUCAGUGUGUUGUUUGGCCAAAAUCAGGAAGAAAAUAAAACCUACCUGUUAGGGUAUGUUGCACUCAGAAAACCUGGCUCAGCUGAUGGGAUAUUUAUCACACUAAGUAUGCUGACAUUUUCCAGGAUUCUUGAGGAGGUCUAAAUAGAAGGAUCUAAAUUCACCAAAAUGAUAGCAUUCUGUAAGAGAAAAGACUAAACAAAAAUAUCCUCAAGGCAAGAGGAUAGCUUGAGACCAGGCAUUCAAGACCAGCCUGGGCAACCCUGUCUCUACAAAAAACAAAAAAAUUAGCCAGGCAUGGUGGUAUGACCUAUAGUCCCAGCUACUAGGGAGGCUGAGGAAGGAGGAUCACUUGAGCCAGGAGUUCAAGACUGCAGAGAGCCAUGAUGAACUGCUGCACUCCAGCCUAGGCAACAGAGUAAGACCCUGUCCCAGGAAAAAAAAAAAAAAAAUCCUCUUCUGUCCAAAAUAAUACAGGCUGAGAGGGAAAGUCAUAAGGUUUGUAAGAUUCAGCUGAAGGAAAAGACAGAAAGCAUAUUGUGUUAAUGCAGCAAGAAGAAAACUUAUGAAAUUGUGAUAACAGGUGGUGCCCUGAAGUUAAGAAUUUCUAAAGUUCCAUUUUCACAAUUUAACCUACCUUUAAGGACAGUAGUGCAAGUAGUUAGUUCUCAAAAAGUUCCACAGUGCCACUGCUGUCAACAAGACAUUGUUUAAAUGAAUUGUUAGUUGGGGGCAUAUGUCAGAGAUGAUAAAUUCCUCUUCAAAGGUUUUAAUUCCCUCUUCUUCCAGUUCUUUGUUUCUCUAGUUUCUAUAGUUACCCGUGCUGUAAACAACCCUUCCUGCCCUGACUGUUCCCUGACAUGUCCUGACAAGUCUAGACAGGCCUUGCACCAUAAUGGAUAGCCUUCCCCUUCCUGCCUAGAUAGCUGUAUUCAAUUUCAAACAUUAGCCAAUCAGGUCAGUUUAGACUGUGCAGUCCAACCCCAGCCAAUGGAGAAAGAACACAGCAGUAGGAACCAAUUGCAUUAGGGAUAAAAACCCCUGCCCUAUCCCCCGGCUCGGUGUUCUCUUGUGAUCGUGACUGGCACAAGCUGCGUCCUUCUGCAGAAGUAAAUUUGCCUUGCUGAGAAAAUUUCUGUUUGAGUGCUAUUUCUUUUGCAGCACCAAAACUUAUUUCUAACAAAUUUGGGGGCCUGUGUGGGAUUCCCAUUCUCCUCUGGGGAAGGGUCCGGUCCUCUCCCAUGAGGAGGCACAUCCUGCUGCCUCAUUGCGGUAGCCUCAGGGGUAAGGAAUCGAGACUCACUCAGUGUGAUGAAUAAACCUGGACUCUCAGCAACACAGGAAGAAACAGACCAACAACUUUGAAAAAAGAAAAAAAAAAGGUAAUCACAUACUGUGGUGUCCAGGUAACUCUGUGCACAGAUCAAGGUAAGAAACCUCACAGUGGCGACAAAGUAUUUCCUUGAUGAUCGGAACAUCUCGGAGGUUGGAAGUUGAAAGUGUGUGAAUAAGCACUACUGGUGUGCGGAGUGAGCGAGUCCAAUCUGUGGUUCUGUGGUCACCUCAUAUGACUUACAGCAGCCUUUUGGGGGUCCUGUCAGGGGUUUAUACUGACCCACCAAUGUUAAAAGGGACAUGAUGUUCCCUUCGGGGAAGCAGCCAGAGAGGAGGAAACGAAAGGAAAAGAGUGCAAGAAGCCUCCACUAGGGGGUAUUGAGGCUCUGGAGAAAAGGAAAGCAAGAAAUCCCAAUAUGGGUGGGGCGGGGGUGGGGGUUGAGCCUCUAGAAGAAAGGAAAGGCGAGAAAUCUCCAGUAGAGGGGAUUGAGCCUCACACAAACCUCCAGUCAUAGGGAAGGCAAAAAAUUUCCAGUAGGGGAAGUUGAGCCUCACCCUAAAACCAUCAAGAUGGGAAAUACCCCAAGUAAGACAGAGAGUAAAAAGGAUAAAGCUAACAGCAAUGAUAUUCCCCUUAAUAGUCCUCUAGGUCUCAUGUUAAAGUAUUGGAAAGAUAAUGAAAGGACUAAGCAUAAGAAAAAGCAACAAAUGUUAAAAUAUUGUUGUUUUAUUUGGACCUAGGAACUAAUCCUCAAACCCUCAGUUUUCUGGCCAAAAUUUGGGUCAAAUGAGGAUUGCAUUUGUCAGCUUCUAAUAGAACAUGUUAAUAACAAGAGUCUAGUUUCCCAAGAAGAGAUAGAUUAUGCUUUGUGUUGGCGACAAGGACCUGUUCUUCUCUACCCCCUAAAAGCUCUAAAAGAUAAGCAUAAGCCACAGAAUGUUUCCCCUAAGGAAACUGAAACUCUGAACUCCAAGCUCUCUAUGCCUUGGGACCUGCUAGGUCACCUUCCCCCACCAAACACCCCUAUCUUUCCUCCCCUCAAGAGCUGCUGUCCCAGACCCUUCUCCUACCGCUAUUGUUCCCCCUCCUUAUAACCCUGCCUCUUGGAAAUUGUCCCUAGAGCCCACUCACUACCAGCCUAAGUACCCUUCCCUAAAGGGACUUCAAAGUGAAACAGCAAUGUAAAGAAGAUAUUCAAAAUUGCCCCUCCCCUUUUACCUCAGGGGAAUCAGCUCCAGCUCUCUUCCCCAUUGAGGGAGGUGCCCCUAGGAGGAGGAGACAUUGGCUUUGUAAAUGUUCCUUUAACCAUCUCAGAAGUAUGAAACCUAAAAAGAGAGCUUAAGUUACUAUUAGAUGACCCUUAUCGGGUAGCAAACCAAAUUGACCAAUUUCUAGGACCACAGUUAUGUACCUGGGCUGAGCUAAUGUUCAUCCUAAGCAUCCUCUUCUCAGGGGAAGAAAGAAGCACGAUCCAUAGGGCUGCUAUGGUAGUCUGGGAAUGUGAACACCCUCCCGGCCAAAAUGUUCCUGCAGCAGAUCGAAAAUUCCCCACCCGAGACCCCUGGUGAGACAAUAAUAACGCAUCCCACCAAGAAAAUAUGCAAGACCUUAGGGAAAUGAUAAAAAAAGGGAUUAAAGAAUCAGUCCCUCAAACCCAGAAUCUUACCAGAGCAUUUGUUAUACAGCGAGGGGAAGAUGAAGGGCCUAUAGAAUUUUUAGACCAAUUAAAAGACAAAUGAGAAAGUAUGCUCAUCUAGAUCUCAAGGAUCCUUUUGGGCAGGGAAUGUUAAAAUUUCAUUUUGUACUAACAAUUGGCCAGAUAUUUCAAAGAAAUUAUAAAAGAUAGAAAAUUAGAAAAACUGUCCCAUGAGUGAAUUUCUUAGGAAGGCUCAAAAAGUGUAUGUAAGAAGGGCCAAAGAAAACCAGAAGCAGAAGGCAAGAAUUCUGCUGUUCACCAUACAACAAAGUACUCGGGGCCAGAACCUAUAAAGAGCCUAGGCCCCAACUUUCCAGGCCAUAUAAAGAACACCAAAGAGCAAAACCUGGGAACUUAAAAUUAGGAGAGGAAGAAAGGAUCUCUUUAAAGGCUAUAAUGCUUUGAAAACUGUGUUGGCAGUGUGGCAUGACUGUUUCAAGUAGAUAAAAGCUUGUCAUUUUACCCCAUCCUGGCAUGACUGUGAAGCCGGUGAGGAAAGAGGAAGAAGGGCAAGUUCAGAUGCCAGCUGGGUAGCUGGGACAGGUUGGCUGAGGGACCACUCGGGAGGUCUCUUGUGCCUGGCAUUGCCCACUUCAGCCCAGUCACGUGUUUACAGCAACCAGAGUCCCUGCAAAGGUGUGGCUGGCUGUGGUCAGGGCCUACUAGCACCAUCACCACACUCCCACCAGCGGCUUAGCUCCUCUCUGCCAGGCCAACUAAGAGUGCUUUGUCCUGGGUGGGACAUGGGGGCUGAUAGAGAUGGGGGAAGACAUAACACCCAGAAAUGAAAACAGAGAUUUAGAGAAGGAACCAGUUAAGUAUGAGACAGAAGUGAAAUAUAAAAACUGAUCAGCUAGUACCAAAUUUCUGUUAAUUCUGGAAGCAAGGACAAAUCUAUUAGGAAGAGAUUUAAUGCUAAAAUUAGGCUUAGGCCUCCAAAUCAAUCAUGGAAAAUUCCUCCCCUUCCUAAACUUGCUCACCACUGCAGACGAAGAACACAUUCAUCCUGAGGUAUGGUCAAAAGACAGGAAUUGGGAACGUUACAGAUUCCUUUGAUUCAUGUUAAAUUAAAAAUCCCUAGGGAAGUAGUAAAGAGAAAGCAAUACCCUAAUCCUUUAGAAGCCAGGGUAAAUUUAAAACCUAUAAUUAAAGGUCUUCUCCAUGAUGGGCUUCUUGAACCCUGUAUGUCUCCCUAUAACACUCCAAUACUGCCUGUAAGCAGCCAGAUGGGUCAUACCGGUUAGUGUAAGACCUUAGAGCUGUUAAUCAGAUAGUCCAAACUACACACGCUGUUGUUCCCAAUCCUUACACUGUUAUCAGUAGGAUCCCAUACAGCCACCAGUGGUUUAUAGUAAUAGAUUUAAAAGAUGCCUUCUGGGCUUGUCCAUUAGCAGAGGACAGCUGGGACCUAUUUGCUUUUAAUUGGGAAAACCAUCACUCAAUUUCUCAAAAACUGAUAUUAGGUCUGUCUUCUGCCCUCUCCUCCCUCAAGACUCAAGGCAUUCUAGCCCAGACUCCACCUCUUGAAUUUCCAGUUCACCACCACCAGCCUGGAGAUCACGUCCUCAUCAGGAGUUGGAAAGAAAGGAGGCUCAAGCCCACUUGGGAAGGACCUUUUUUAGUGCUCUUAACAACUAAGACAGCAGUUCAGACCACCAAGAAGGGCUGGGCUCAUCACACUCGAGUUAAGUGGGCACCACCCUUCCCAGAAUCAUGGACCAUUGUUCCAGGACCAACUCCUGCCAAGCUAAGGCUAAAGUGGUUUAACCCUCUUAUUCUGUAUUUCUUUCCUUCCCCCUUCUAUCACUAAUCCCCUUAUCAUUAAUGUAACCAAGUCAAGCUCACCCCAAACUAUUACCUUUGAUGCUUGCCUUGUUAUACCCUGCAGAGAUUUGUCAAGUCAAAAGCAACUCUCCACCUCAGAAAAGUAUCUCUGUCCUUCCUGGCUGUCCUCAGAUUGGGCAUUUGUUAACUGGGAUAAAUUAGUUUGGGAAGAGUUUGACGAAGAUUCCAAUAUGAACUGGGAAUCUAGUCCUCUUAGAGCAGAGCUUCUCUGCCGAAGUUGGUCCAAUGUUCUAUGAAAUACUAAAGGGCAAGGAUGACCUCCCCAACUAGUACUUACAGUUUCUUAAAACCAUAUAUUCAUUUUACUAAAGGGAUUACCCCUCCCAAUUGUCAGCUGAACCAAUGUAAUCCAGCACAGAUUACUAUCUGUGCUCCCCAGAGUUCUUCCCCUUCAUUAAGCCAUUUCUAUGGUAUAGGAGCAUAAGUCUCAGGGAAGGACCCCAUAGGAUCCUUUGAAAUGUGCUUCACUGCUUCCCCACCUCCUGCAUCCCCUUCUCGCUCUCCUAAGUUCUCUGCUAACCAAACCUUUUCUCAUUAUAUACCCAAUGAUAAAACCAGAGUAGCUGUUGUAGAGGUUAAAGAUUUAAAACAAAUUAUAGCAAUUGAAACAGGGUAUCAGGACGCAAAUGCUUGGCUGGAAUGGAUUAAAUAUUCUGUUCACAUGCUAAACAAAAGCAACUGUUACUCUUGUGCAACAGGCAGGCCAGAGACCCACAUUGUCCCCUUUCCACUUGGGCGGUCCUGUCACCGAGGAGGCAUGAGCUGUAUGAUAGCCCUCUUCCAGAACCCCAUAGCCUGAGGCGAUGAGUCAUGCAAGACUCUUUCACUGCUGUUCCCUGAGGUCAAGAGCCCUGCAGGUCAGCCCCUGAGGGCCAUCCGGCCUCCAGCUCCUAAUAUUAACUUCACCUCGUGCCUUUCACAGCAGGGGGAAACGUUUGCAUUCCUUGGAGACUUAACAGGGUGCAGUGAUACCAAGCCUUUUCAAGAGCUUACCAAUCAGUCUGCCCUUGUUCAUCCCUGAACGAAUGUGUGGUGGUAUUGCGGAGGACUAUUGUUGGGUACUCUGCCAAUUCACUGGAGUGGCACUUACGCUCUAAUUCAACUGGCUAUCCCUUUCAUCUUGGCACUUCAUCAACCAAGAAAGUUGAAAACAGAAUGUCAUAAAAAGAGAGAUGUCUCUCAAGGAUCCUUUGAUCCUCAUGUUUAUAUAGAUGCUAUUGGAGUACCACAAGGGUUACCAGAUGAAUUCAAAGCCUGAAAUCAAAUAGCUGCAGGAUUCAAGUCUAUAUUGUUCUGGUGGUCAACUGUAAACAAGAAUGUAGCUUAGAUAAAUUAUGUCUAUUAUAAUCAACAACACUGUGUUAAUUAUACUAGAUAUACUAUUAAAGGAAUACUUGAACAAUUAGGCCCUACCAGCCAAAUGGCCUGGGAAAAUAGAAUAGCCCUUGACAUGAUAUUAGCUAAAAAAAAAAAAGGUAGGGUUUGUGUCAUGAUUGAAGUCCAAUAUUGUACUUUUAUUCCCAAUAACACUGACCCUGAUGGAACAAUAACAAAAGCCUUACAAGGCCUUACCCUGUUAUCAAAUGAGUUAGCUAACAAUUCUGGAAUAAAUGACCCCUUUACAAGCCUCAUAAUAGCAGUAGAUAAUACCCAGAAAGUAGCAACCCUAUGCGAUCUGUGCUUCCCAGAAACCCCCAAGACAGUGCAUCUGAAACAAAAAAGGAAAAGAUGGAAGACCAAACUGUGGGUGAUCAUAUUUAAAGGGUCAUAAACAAUUAUGGUGUCAUUUGUAAUGGAGAAAAAGUCUUUAACAUCGUUUAAGAAAUGUUAGACUACCAGCGUUAUCCACUGACUGCCUAGACAAUCAAAUCGACAAUUGAUCAGACUCUGCUUCAUUGUAUCUUUUCUUUUGUUGCCUAAAAUAAUUGGCUCCCAACUGGUGAGACAAAAAUCAUUGGUGGGGCUUCAAAUCCCUUUGCACAGCACAAAUCAUCUGUGGAUUUAGUAAAUACUUCCAACAUAUUAUAUACAUUACUAUUUUUCAUAUUGGUAUUAAUAAGAUUAAUAAAAUACAAAUCCAGUAGAAGGCAUUACUAAAAGUUAUUGACUACUUUUUUUCAUCUAUUUCCUCAAGCAGUGGAUGCUAAAAAAUUCCAAAUCCUAUUAUAAAUUUAUGUCUUUCAUACUAAAUGAUAUUGUUACUUUCCUCUAAUUACAAAAAUAAUGGCUUCUUAUCUAACAUUCACUGAUCAGUUAUUAUGUGCCCAGUAAUAUGUGAAGCCCUUCACAUGAAAUAUCUCAAUUUAUCCUCAUCACAAUUUUACAAGGUAGGCAUCAUCAUAACCCUCAUUUUAUAGAUAAAGAAGCUGAGGCUUGAAGAGUUUUGGUAACUCACCUGCAUUCAAAUAGGCAACAAGAGAGAGAGCCAGGCUGUAAAAGCAGAUUGACCUGUACCUUAAUUACACAUAAUAUGGCCUCAUGUGCUCUAUCAGAAAAUAGAGAAAACUGGAGAGUAUAAAGUAAAUAUCUCUCAUAAUCCUGCUAAUCAGACAUAGGACUGGUAGAUAACAUGUUAGGUUGUGUCCUUCUAGUCAUUUUAUUAGAUGUUUGUCCCCCUACUGAAGUGGUUUUAGGCAGCACAUUUUGUUUUGUAUUUUCACACAGCAUCUACAUAGACAAAAAUGUUUUUCUAGGAUAUUAUGCAUUUUGCAGUGUGUGGUUGAACUAUGUUUUAUCUGACCAUUCUUGUGUACAUUUAGGUAGUUUCCAACAUUCAUUAUCAUAAAUAAUGUUAUGUGGCAGAUUAUAAAACUUGCCCGCAUAGUAUCCCCAUUGUCAAGAAGUGGAGCCUAUUUCUCCACUCCUCAAAUCUGCACUGGCUGUGUGAUGUACUUUGGCCAACACUGCUUGUGUCCGCAAGUGUACCCAGCAGAGACUUGGCGUGAGCUGCACACUGGGACUGGCUCUCUUGCUGCUCUUGGGACCCCAUGAUGGCCAUCGUGUGAAGAAGUCCAGGCUUGCCUGCUGCCCCAUCAGCCCUGCCAACAGGUUGCCAACCACCACGCCUGUGGUUAGCCUCCAUCAUCCAGCGCCCUCCAAUUCGCCAUCCUCUCCCAGACACCCAGCAGGGACUGGACAAGCUACCCAGAUGAGGAGAACCACACAGCUGACCCACAGAACUGUGAACUAAUUACAUGGCUGCUAUAAGAUUUGGGGUCGUUGGUUAACAGCAAAAGCUAAUACAUACUGCAGUGAAUAAUCAUGAAUAUACAAGUUUAUACAAGUUUAAGAGUAGAAGUUACAAUACAGAAUGAGAGAUGGAGUGAGGUUUAAGAAUGGGAUGAGGUUCAGGGAUGAAGGAAGAAUAGAGGAGGCUCAAGGAGAAGAGGAGGACAGGAAUGGGAUAGAGUCCUAGAUGAGAAGAGAGUUUAGGAUGGAGAUGGCAGGCUCCAGAAUCAGUGAGGAUAUCUAUGUGCAUUUACUUGAUAAUUUUCAAAAUCUGAACGUUUAUUGAUUUGUUUAUUAAGCUGCAUCAAAAUGUCAUUUGCAGAGAGUGUAUAUUCCCCAUAUACUCAUCCAAAACAUUGAUUAUUCUUUUUCCUCCUUGCCAGUGUGAUAAGUGAGAAUGAUACCUGCAUGUCUGAGUUUUGCACUCUGCAAUUAAUAGUGGCAUUGAAUUUCUUUCCACGUGGUUACCGUCCUUUUGCUCUCCUGUUUGUGUCUGGCCCAUUUUGCCAAAUUUUUUCAUGCCUUUUCCAAGUCAAUCUCCAACCCACCCCUGGUACCAGGCAACUAUUGUUGUGCGUUUUUCUGUCAUUACAGAUUAAAAUUGUCUGAGCUUUUUAAAAAUAUUCCAUUGCUUUGCACAUCCACUUAUUUUAUGGUUAGUGUUUUUUCUAGCUUUUUUAAGUUUUAUUUUUUAAUUGAUGUAUAAUAAUUGUACCUAUUCAUAGGGUAUAUAGUGAUGUUUUGAUAUCCGUAAUGCAUAAUGAUCAGAUCAGGGUAAUUAGCAUAUCCAUCAUCUCAACCAUGUGUCAUUUCUUUGUGUUGGGAACAUUCCAUACCUCCUUCUAGCUAUUGAAAUUACAUGAUGUAUUAUUGUUAACUAUAGUCAUCCUACAGUGCUGUAGAACACUAGUGCCUAUUCCUCCCGUCUUUCUUAAUGUCUAGGCUUUUUGAUAAAUAAAAUGUAUUUUAAUCUUUCUUUUGUUAAAUUGAACAAACUUUCUUUAACUGUGUUAGUUAAAACUGCCUUUCCCACACCAAAUUUACAUAGAGAUUCACCCUAUAUUUUCUUCUGUUCAUUUUUACAUUUAACUUUUAGGGCAUCUUGGAUAUAUUUUAAUAUAUACUAUGAAGCAUCUAUUGUUAUUAUUUCACAAGAGUUUAUCAGUUAUCCCAUAUUAUCUUGUCCCACUGACCACACACUCAGACACACACACACACAAAUACUUGGAUCUGUUUCUAUUAUCUUUUUUGAUCCUACAUUGUUACAGACUUUUAUCAUUGCAAUAUCUGAAUAACUGGUAGUAUAAGCACACUGUCUCUCUAACCAAUGCUUAUUCCUUUUUUUUCAAUAUUUUCCUGGCAGUUCUUGCCCAUUUAUUCUUCCCAAUGAACUGUAGAAUCAGUUUAUCAGGUUCUUUUAAAAAAUACCGGCAGGGCGUGGUGGCUCACGCCUGUAAUCCCUGCACUUUGGGAGGUUGAGGCAGGUGGAUCACCUGAGGUCAGGAGUUCAAGACCAGCUUGGCCAACAGGAUGAAACCCUGUCUCUACUGAAAAUACAAAAAAUUAGCUGGGAGUGGUGGCACAUGCCUGUAAUCCCUGCACUUUGGGAGGCCGAGGCAGGUGGAUCACCUGAGGUCAGGAGUUCAAGACCAGCCUGGCCCACAAAAUGAAACCCCAUCUCUACUAAAAAUACAAAAAAUUAGCUAGGCGUGGUAGCACAUGACUGUAAUCCCUGCACUUUGGGAGGCUGAGGUGGGUGGAUCACUUGAGGUCAGGAGUUUGAGACCAGCCUGGCCAACAGGAUGAAACCCCAUCUCUACUAAAAAUACAAAAAAUUAGCUGGGUGUGGUGGUGCACGCUUGUAAUCCCAGCUACUCAGGAGGCUGAGGCAGGGGAAUCACUUGAACCUGGGAGGCGGAGGUUGUAGUGAAUCAAGAUUGCGCCACUGCACUCCAGCCUGGGCAACAAGAGCAAAACUCCAUCUCAAAAACAAAAACAAACAAACAAACCAAAAAACCUGGUAAAUUUGUUUAAGUUCUUUGUAGAUUCUGGAUAUUAGACCUUUGUCAGAUGGGUAGAUUGGAAAUUUUUUCUCCCAUUCUGCAGGGACAUGGAUGAAGCUGGAAACCAUCAUUCUCAGCAAACUAACACAAGAACAGAAAACCAAACACCACAUGUUCUCACUCAUAAGUGGGAGUUGAACAAUGAGAACACAUGGACACAGGGAGGAGAUCAUCACCUACCAG
This 14545-nucleotide long non-coding RNA is filed under the name Homo sapiens (human). Its description in RNAcentral is "long non-coding RNA NONHSAT206694.1". The record is from RNAcentral. Lineage: Eukaryota; Metazoa; Chordata; Mammalia; Primates; Hominidae.